UGGGGAAUAUUGCGCAAUGGUCGAAAGACUGACGCAGCGACGCCGCGUGUGGGAGGAAGCCCUUCGGGGUGUAAACCACUGUCGGGAGGGACGAACCGCGGACGGGCAAAUAGCCCGGACGCCUGACGGUACCUCCAAAGGAAGCACCGGCUAACUCCGUGCCAGCAGCCGCGGUAAGACGGAGGGUGCAAGCGUUGUUCGGAAUUACUGGGCGUAAAGCGCGGGCAGGUGGUCUUUUAAGUCCUUUGUGAAAUCCCGGGGCUCAACUCCGGAUGUGCAUAGGAUACUGGAAGACUUGAGACUGGUAGAGGCGAGCGGAAUUCCUGGUGUAGCGGUGGAAUGCGUAGAUAUCAGGAAGAACACCGGUGGCGAAGGCGGCUCGCUGGGCCAGUUCUGACACUCAUCCGCGAAAGCGUGGGGAGCAAACAGG
This 430-nucleotide ribosomal RNA is filed under the name uncultured bacterium. RNAcentral's name for it is "bacterial SSU rRNA". It matches the Rfam family "Bacterial small subunit ribosomal RNA", at positions 355 to 776 of the family's 1533-position model. The record is from RNAcentral.